AUGACCUUGAAAUAAUGAUACUUCGUGAGACUCUUCUCUGUCUUUCUGGAGCAGUUCGUUCUGGUUUUCCCCGCUUUUGAGCGUUUGCGAGCUCUGCCAAUACGUGAAGAAAGAGCUUGUCAUCAGCCAAUCAUUGUCCGCAUUUUGUAUUCGUGAAUUAUAUAAGCUAUUCCUGAGGAUCUUUCUCGUAUGGUUGUAGCCUCAAUAUAAUGCACUGAUUGGACGGCGAUUGUGACAAACAGGCUGUUUCUCCGUAUGAGUCCGAGUUGGUGCGCUUGAGUGUCGUGUUAAAAAGAGUUUACUUUGUGAAAGUUUUUUUUUGAUGCACAUGGCGUUGUGGAACAGCUGUUUCUGCUUCUAGAGUAUAAUAUUUUUGCGAUUGCACUCGUCUUGUAGUCCCCGCACUGACUUUUAUUGCGGAGAAAAUCAAAGAAAAGAUCGCGUUGCCACUCCCUUACCCUGUGCAAAGCGUUUUUUAAUUGCAUAGUUUUUAUCUUUUACUUUCGAGAUCUCGUCUGUGGAAACUUCUAGCGCCCCGAAGGAGAGCUUGUGAUAGAGCACAGCAGUGUGCGGAUUUCUCAACAGGCUCUGAUCAGAAAAUGAAACUCUUUCCGAACGCGUUAGUGCUCCGGAGUCGAGGUUAGGCUGCUGCUGCGCCAGAACAGAGACGGUUGUUUUUACCUGCUUUGUCUCCGUUAAGCUGUACUUCCACGCCUGUCCGUACAAGAAAAAACUUUAAUUUUGCAUAAACUCUUAUUGCCUUAGAGCAGGAGCCCACGCGAAACACAUUUUGUAAAGCUUUAAUACGUUCUUUUUCUGAUUAUAGUGAUGAUUCGAAUUUGUGGAGUGAAAUUUUGGAUUUAGAUUUUUUUGUUGUGCAAAAAAAUCUUAAGGACUUUAGUCAACUGAUUUGUACCAAAACAUCUUUUCGUGGUUAUGAUCGCUUCUCCCAUCUGUCCUUGCACGUGUUGCUAUGAAUCACCUGGAAUUUUUCGUAAUCUCGUUUGCCUGGCCGAGUUGGCCAGCCAGCGCGACUAUGUUUUUCAAGUAUUAUAGUUCACUGGCCGACUGCAAAUAUUUCAGAUCCCUACAAACUCCACGCCCCUUGGCUAAACUUGCUGCUCUUGCUCUUCUUGCUUUACUCUCUAAUAAUGAACCCAAUGCGGUACACUCUGACUUUAGUAUUGUGCAUACGUUUGUGAAUUUUCUCAGAGUGAAUCGUUUAAUGUCAAUUUUGAUCUUCAAAGGAUGACUUGCUUUCAGAAAAAAAGAGAGAAAGAAGAAUAAACAAAUUUUCAAUGAAAUUUAGCUGAGGAAAGAGGGUAAUAUUAAUGGCGUUUUUACUAAAGAAACACUUUGCCAGUGCCUGAAAGAGUUGGAAAGACAAUCGACUGAACUUUUAAGCGUUGCGGCGC
Long non-coding RNA from Zophobas morio, 1415 nucleotides. RefSeq lists it as uncharacterized. NCBI's taxonomy places the organism in Eukaryota, Metazoa, Arthropoda, Insecta, Coleoptera, Tenebrionidae. The transcript has 12 exons. The record is from RefSeq and is a predicted model, not a curated record.